GAUAGCGCAGCUGGUAGAGCAUGAGAACUCAUAAUCUGAUGGUUGUGGGUUCGAGCCACACAUGGAACA
Molecule: non-coding RNA, 69 nt
Organism: Podarcis lilfordi (Lilford's wall lizard)
Lineage: Eukaryota; Metazoa; Chordata; Lepidosauria; Squamata; Lacertidae
Source: the annotation of a GenBank genome assembly